RNAcentral lists this ribosomal RNA (465 nucleotides) under Vreelandella stevensii. RNAcentral's name for it is "partial 16S ribosomal RNA". It matches the Rfam family "Bacterial small subunit ribosomal RNA", at positions 338 to 795 of the family's 1533-position model. The record is from RNAcentral. Lineage: Bacteria; Pseudomonadati; Pseudomonadota; Gammaproteobacteria; Oceanospirillales; Halomonadaceae.
CCUACGGGUGGCUGCAGUGGGGAAUAUUGGACAAUGGGCGAAAGCCUGAUCCAGCAAUGCCGCGUGUGUGAAGAAGGCCUUCGGGUUGUAAAGCACUUUCAGUGGGGAAGAAAGCCUUGGGGCUAAUACCCUCGAGGAAGGACAUCACCCACAGAAGAAGCACCGGCUAACUCCGUGCCAGCAGCCGCGGUAAUACGGAGGGUGCGAGCGUUAAUCGGAAUUACUGGGCGUAAAGCGCGCGUAGGCGGUCUGAUAAGCCGGUUGUGAAAGCCCCGGGCUCAACCUGGGAACGGCAUCCGGAACUGUCAGGCUAGAGUGCAGGAGAGGAAGGUAGAAUUCCCGGUGUAGCGGUGAAAUGCGUAGAGAUCGGGAGGAAUACCAGUGGCGAAGGCGGCCUUCUGGACUGACACUGACGCUGAGGUGCGAAAGCGUGGGUAGCAAACAGGAUUAGAUACCCCAGUAGUC